GACGAACGCUGGCGGCGUGCUUAACACAUGCAAGUCGAACGGAAAGGCCCUGCUCUUGUGGGGUGCUCGAGUGGCGAACGGGUGAGUAACACGUGAGUAACCUGCCCUUGACUUUGGGAUAAAUUCAGGAAACUGGGGCUAAUACCGGAUAGGAGCUCCUGCUGCAUGGUGGGGGUUGGAAAGUUUCGGCGGUUGGGGAUGGACUGGCGGCUUAUCAGCUUGUUGGUGGGGUAGUGGCUUACCAAGGCUUUGACGGGUAGCCGGCCUGGGAGGGUGACCGGCCACAUUGGGACUGAGAGACGGACCAGACUCGUACGGGAGGCAGUAGUGGGGAAUAUUGCAGAGUGGGCGGAAGCCUGAUGCAGCAACGCCGCGUGCGGGAUGACGGCCUUCGGGUGGUAAACCGCUGUCGCCUGUGACGAAGCGUGAGUGACGGUAAUGGGUAAAGAAGCACCGGCUAACUACGUG
This 468-nucleotide ribosomal RNA is filed under the name uncultured bacterium. RNAcentral describes it as "partial 16S ribosomal RNA". It matches the Rfam family "Bacterial small subunit ribosomal RNA", at positions 28 to 507 of the family's 1533-position model. The record is from RNAcentral.